Long non-coding RNA from Diceros bicornis minor, 988 nucleotides. RefSeq lists it as uncharacterized. Lineage: Eukaryota; Metazoa; Chordata; Mammalia; Perissodactyla; Rhinocerotidae. The transcript has 2 exons. The record is from RefSeq and is a predicted model, not a curated record.
AGAGCACCAUCCGAUUCCUGGCAGAGCUUAAGGCCCAGGGAUGGCAGCAGAAUACGGAUUCGAGACAACUUGUGAAUAACCACAGAAGUCAGCUACCCAACACACAGACAGGCCUAACAGUGAAAUCUCCAGGUUGGUCUGACUCCACUUUAAGCGGCUCAAGUGCCAUCACUGGACUGAACGGUGGAACUGGCUGUGAUGCUACACUGCUGAUUCCCUUUCCUCUGUCUACUCUUCGGGAGAAUGCAAAUGGGAUACGGUAUGUUAAAUGCCACAAGGACCAGGAUGCUUCAGUGCCCAAAGAGGCAACAACAGAGAGAAAAGGAGAAUGAAGAUGACUGCUGACACGUCACCGAGGACUUCUGCAGAACACGUUCAGUGUGAGAAUUCCCAAAGGUUGACAGAUGCUGUUUAACAGAAGUAAAAUGUAAGAUUCCUAAGGCCUGCUUCACAUAUAAAGGAGUAGUUAUUGGGAAACCCAGUACAUUUUGUAAUUAUGUUCUAAAAUACAGUAACAAUGGAUUAUAACAUAAGCAUAAUUACUGCUGAAAAUAAAGCUAUGAACUAACAACAAAAGGCUUUAGGAAAGGCUAAUUUCAAAGUAAAAAUAAAGAAGAUUUAAUCCAAAACAUUCUCCUUAUUCUAAGUUUAAAUAACUCUUGGGAACCUAACUGGAUUAAAAUUGAACGAUCUGACCAGUACUCAGAAGAAUCAUCAUCAUAGCAUGUACACAAAAUAGAGAAUAAAAUUUUAAUGGUAUCAAAAACAGAACUUUAUGGUCAAUUUAGUAUUUGCUGGAAUAAGGCUGCAAAAUGUUACUCAGUAACUGACUUAGCUUCUAAAUCAAGCCAGAAUUACACAUACUCUGUGUAUUACGUUAGUAUAUACAAGUACAUUCCAGGAUAACAUGCAGAGACAUGGAAACAAUAAGCGUACCGUAAGUCAAAAUCACCAUCUCUAUGGAUGAAAUAAUAAAUAGAAAACAAAA